RNAcentral lists this ribosomal RNA (324 nucleotides) under uncultured eukaryote. RNAcentral describes it as "partial 18S ribosomal RNA". It matches the Rfam family "Eukaryotic small subunit ribosomal RNA", at positions 1470 to 1796 of the family's 1831-position model. The record is from RNAcentral.
CCCUUAGAUGCUCUGGGCCGCACGCGCGCUACACUGGUCGAUGCAACGAGUUUCUUUCCUUGGCCGACAGGCCUGGGCAAUCUUUGAACAUCGAUCGUGAUCGGGAUAGAUUCUUGUAAUUUUUGAUCUUAAACGAGGAAUUCCUAGUAAACGCAAGUCAUCAGCUUGCAUUGAUUACGUCCCUGCCCUUUGUACACACCGCCCGUCGCACCUACCGAUUGAAUGGUCCGGUGAAAUCUCCGGACUGGCGUGAGUUGGAGCAAUCUGACAAACACCGGAAAGUUGAUUAAACCUUACCAUUUAGAGGAAGGUGAAGUCGUAACA